ACAUUUGGUAAGUACCUUUAAAAUUUAAAACACCCUCAAAAUGAUUCUAACACUAUCCUCUGACGCUUUUCGACUAGGAUCAAAUAAAAGUUAAUUAUUUAAUUACAGAUUGGUGGAAUCCAGAUUCUGUGAAUGUACAUGUAAUUGAUUGACAAGUACACAUUUGACAAGGUGGUGAGAAACGUGUAGAUCUGGCCUGCUUACAGUGGCUAUUGGAUUGGACAGAACCAAAGUGAGAGUGAACGUGUGAAUUUAUGGAGAACAUUAAAAACUAUUUUACUAUAAGUCAUAACGCAACUUAUUUUGUAUGAGUUACAUACAAAUGUCAAGCCGUGAGUACAUUAUGUAAAAACUAAAACAAUGUACCUACUGUAAUCACAACAGUAACUGUAAUCUUUUAAAAUCCAAUAGUUUUAAUGCUUAUUGAUUUUCGUAAACAAAAUAUUUCAUGUUAUAUUUCAUCAAUAAAGUUUCAUUUGAUA
Molecule: long non-coding RNA, 482 nt
Organism: Ostrinia nubilalis (European corn borer)
Lineage: Eukaryota; Metazoa; Arthropoda; Insecta; Lepidoptera; Crambidae
Exons: 2
Source: RefSeq, a predicted model, not a curated record